CAGUCGCCGCGGGAAUACGAAGGGUGCAAGCGUUAAUCGGAAUUACUGGGCGUAAAGCGUGCGUAGGCGGUUUGUUAAGUCUGUUGUGAAAUCCCCGGGCUCAACCUGGGAAUGGCAAUGGAUACUGGCAAGCUAGAGUGUGUCAGAGGAUGGUGGAAUUCCCGGUGUAGCGGUGAAAUGCGUAGAGAUCGGGAGGAACAUCAGUGGCGAAGGCGGCCAUCUGGGACAACACUGACGCUGAGGCACGAAGGCGUGGGGAGCAAACAGGAUUAGAUACCCGGGUAGUCCCUGUCUCUUAUAC
This 301-nucleotide ribosomal RNA is filed under the name uncultured bacterium. Its description in RNAcentral is "partial 16S ribosomal RNA". It matches the Rfam family "Bacterial small subunit ribosomal RNA", at positions 509 to 807 of the family's 1533-position model. The record is from RNAcentral.